AUUGAACGCUGGCGGAAUGCUUUACACAUGCAAGUCGAACGGCAGCACGGACUUCGGUCUGGUGGCGAGUGGCGAACGGGUGAGUAAUGUAUCGGAACGUGCCCAGUCGUGGGGGAUAACGUAGUGUAAAUUACGCUAAUACCGCAUACGAUCUAUGGAUGAAAGCGGGGUAUCGCAAGACCUCGCGCGAUUGGAGCGGCCGAUAUCAGAUUAGGUAGUUGGUGGGGUAAGGGCCCACCAAGCCAACGAUCUGUAGCUGGUCUGAGAGGACGACCAGCCACACUGGAACUGAGACACGGUCCAGACUCCUACGGGAGGCAGCAGUGGGGAAUUUUGGACAAUGGGCGAAAGCCUGAUCCAGCCAUUCCGCGUGCAGGAUGAAGGCCCUCGGGUUGUAAACUGCUUUUGUACAGAACGAAAAGGUUUCUACUAAUACUAGGAGCUCAUGACGGUACUGUAAGAAUAAGCACCGACUAACUACGUGCCAGCCGCCGCGGUAA
Molecule: ribosomal RNA, 500 nt
Filed under: uncultured bacterium
Lineage: Bacteria
Description: partial 16S ribosomal RNA
Rfam family: Bacterial small subunit ribosomal RNA
Source: RNAcentral